GUGCUCGCUUCGGCAGCACACACACUAAAACUGGAAGGAUACAGAGAAGAUUGGCAUGGCCCCUGCGCAAGGCUGACACACAAGUCCGUGAAGCGUUCCAUAUUAAA
Molecule: small nuclear RNA, 107 nt
Organism: Myotis lucifugus (little brown bat)
Lineage: Eukaryota; Metazoa; Chordata; Mammalia; Chiroptera; Vespertilionidae
Source: Ensembl